RNAcentral lists this transfer RNA (69 nucleotides) under Phytophthora infestans (potato late blight agent). RNAcentral's name for it is "tRNA-Pro". The record is from RNAcentral. Lineage: Eukaryota; Oomycota; Peronosporomycetes; Peronosporales; Peronosporaceae.
UUUUAGCUCAGUGGUCGAGCGUUGGCUUUGGAAGCCACAGGUCGGCUGUUCAAAAGCACCCGGGCGCAG